Capsicum annuum is the source of this 1198-nucleotide long non-coding RNA. RefSeq lists it as uncharacterized. NCBI's taxonomy places the organism in Eukaryota, Viridiplantae, Streptophyta, Magnoliopsida, Solanales, Solanaceae. The record is from RefSeq and is a predicted model, not a curated record. The transcript is spliced from 3 exons.
GUACAAGGGUCCACUGAACCAUUUUAUCUUUUUUAUAUGGAUAUAUAUAAGUCGGAAUCAAGUAUAGUUACCGAAUUAUCAUAUUAUAAAAUAUUGAAACCGAAUUUAAAAAUACCGAAUCAUACUAAACUAAUUUGAUAUGAUAAUGGUGUUGUUCUAUCGAAAAUCAAAAUUACCAUAUCCAAUUUUAAAAUAUCAUACCACACCAUGCUCACCCCGAGCUUUCUAUUUUCCCUAAUUAUUCUAAAAGAGAAAACGAUUGUCACGUUCUAGGGUUCGGUGGCUGAUCAUAUUUUGACAGUUUACAUAGAGAAGGAUUUCAAAUCUUCAAAGAUGAUAAGAAUCUGAAAAAAGGUGACAUGAUCUCAAUAGGACUAGAGAAAGGAAUCGAAAAUUGAAGAAUUUCCAUUGCUGUUUUGUCAACAAAAUAUGUUUCUCCUCAUUGGUGUCAACAAAAAUCAAUGCCUCUAGGGUUCUUCUGAAAAAAAUCAAUCUAGGGUUCUUUUUUGGAGUGAUGAUCAGCAAUGUUGGAAGGUUCAAUCAAUUCACUUGAAACUCAGAAUUCGAGAAGAUGCUAUUUUGGAUUCAAUGCUCUAAAUUUGAUGGCUUGGACUGAUUUGAAUGUUGGGAGAAGAUUCCAUAAAUGUCCCAGGCCUAAAGUUAAUUCAUGUGGAUAUUGGGAAUGGCAAGACAAACAACAGCUACCACUAAGAGCGGUAGCUGUCGGUAGCUGUCAUAUUGGAGCUAAUAGGUAAAUUGGAUAAUAUGAAAGUUGAAAGAAACAAAUUGAAAAGCAUAGUAGAUGGAAUGGAAGGGGUGAAAGGGAUGAUUUGACGGAAACAAUUGAAGAAUUGAAUUUUGUUAAUCUCCAAAAAGCUUCUGAGAUUAGACUUGUACGGGAGAAGGUUGAGGAAUGAAGUUAUAUUAGCCCAAGAAGCUGGCAAAGUUCUAAUUUUGGAGAAGAAAAUUAAGAAGGUAAAAAUUGUCAUUUUCAUGUCAUGUGCUUUGUUCUGUGUGCGUUUUAGGAAUCACGAAGUGAAGUUCGUAUCUAAGCUAGGACAACCUAUGUUGAAGUGAAUCUAUUUUGUUGGUUGUAAUGAAGUAGAAGUGUUUGUAUUAUGUUAAUGAAAAUGAAGUUGAAGUGUUUGUAAUGAAGUGAAUGACUUAUGUUGUUAAUGAAGUUGAGGUUGGAAUUUUA